UAUGUUCCCCUGGUGUUAAG
RNAcentral lists this non-coding RNA (20 nucleotides) under Arabidopsis thaliana (thale cress). Lineage: Eukaryota; Viridiplantae; Streptophyta; Magnoliopsida; Brassicales; Brassicaceae. The record is from RNAcentral.